Molecule: ribosomal RNA, 441 nt
Filed under: uncultured bacterium
Lineage: Bacteria
Description: bacterial SSU rRNA
Rfam family: Bacterial small subunit ribosomal RNA
Source: RNAcentral
GGCGGAACGGGUGAGUAACACGUGGGUAACCUGCCCAUAAGAGGGGGGAUAACAUCCGGAAACGGGUGCUAAUACCGCAUAGUUUUCUUGAUCGCAUGAUCGGGAAAGGAAAGACGGCCUUUGUGCUGUCGCUUAUGGAUGGACCCGCGGCGUAUUAGUUAGUUGGUGAGGUAACGGCUCACCAAGACGAUGAUACGUAGCCGACCUGAGAGGGUGAUCGGCCACAUUGGGACUGAGACACGGCCCAAACUCCUACGGGAGGCAGCAGUAGGGAAUCUUCCGCAAUGGACGAAAGUCUGACGGAGCAACGCCGCGUGAGUGAAGAAAAGGUUCUCGGAUCGUAAAACUCUGUUGUCAGAGAAGAACAAGUUGGAGAGUAACUGCUCCAGCCUUGACGGUAUCUGACCAGAAAGCCACGGCUAACUACGUGCCAGCCGCGGC